AUUGCUACAAGUAUGUCUAAAAUGCUCUGAGGAAAUAACAUAUUUUUAAUUUGUCAGGUCAGCAAAAGCAGGCAGUAAGUAGAGGAAAAGUGAUCUUGUGAACUGGCAAGUUUUUCUUCCUUCCUUCUCCCUCACAAUUGUUUGUGUUGGGGUACCCCAGGAGUAUUCCCUUUGAUCACACAAUGGAUGAAGCAACAGCUAGAAGUAUUCUUCGAAGAAAUGAAGAUUUGACCAGAACGGGGGCUCUGAUGACCACACUAGGACCUUCCGAAAGAUUGAAAGCGAGCUGCUGAUCAGUGACUCAUAUUGGUUGAGAAAUGCGAUGUUGUUCACUAGCAAUGUAACGUGCAAAGUGAUGCACUGUAUUUCGAUGACUCUGCAGGUGAUCUGCCCAAGCUCUGGAAAAUUUUCCUUCUCCUUCAAGAUUGUUUUCAGCAAUAAUAACUUGGAGACAGAUCAACAACGCUGGUUCAUAGUCCCAGUUCUGCCUCCUACAGUUUGUGAGACUUCGGGGAAGUUACCCAUACUUUCAUCACUUGGUUUCUUCAUCUACAAUAAAGAUAAGAGUACAU
Odocoileus virginianus texanus is the source of this 572-nucleotide long non-coding RNA. RefSeq lists it as uncharacterized. The record is from RefSeq and is a predicted model, not a curated record. NCBI's taxonomy places the organism in Eukaryota, Metazoa, Chordata, Mammalia, Artiodactyla, Cervidae.